RNAcentral lists this ribosomal RNA (164 nucleotides) under uncultured bacterium. Its description in RNAcentral is "partial 16S ribosomal RNA". It matches the Rfam family "Bacterial small subunit ribosomal RNA", at positions 355 to 511 of the family's 1533-position model. The record is from RNAcentral.
UAGGGAAUCUUCCACAAUGGGCGAAAGCCUGAUGGAGCAACGCCGCGUGUGUGAUGAAGGCUUUCGGGUCGUAAAGCNCUGUUGUAUGGGAAGAACAGCUAGAAUAGGAAAUGAUUUUAGUUUGACGGUACCAUACCAGAAAGGGACGGCUAAAUACGUGCCAA